Molecule: ribosomal RNA, 450 nt
Filed under: uncultured bacterium
Lineage: Bacteria
Description: partial 16S ribosomal RNA
Rfam family: Bacterial small subunit ribosomal RNA
Source: RNAcentral
CCUACGGGGGGCAGCAGUAAGGAAUAUUGGUCAAUGGACGAAAGUCUGAACCAGCCAUGCCGCGUGGAGGAUGAAGGUCCUCUGGAUUGUAAACUUCUUUUAUAUGGGACGAAAAAAGGCCUUUCUAGGUCGUCUGACGGUACCAUAUGAAUAAGCACCGGCUAACUCCGUGCCAGCAGCUGCGGUAAUACGGAGGGUGCAAGAGUUAUCGGGAUUCACUGGGUUGUAGGGGGGUGUGUGAGGCUUGGUAGAAAUCCCCGAGCUUAACUUGGGAACUGCCAUUGAUACUAUCAGUCUUGAAUACCGUGGAGGUCAGCGGAAUAUGUCAUGUAGCGGUGAAAUGCUUAGAUAUGACAUAGAACACCAAUUGCGAAGGCAGCUGGCUACCCGAAUAUUGACACUGAGGCACGAAAGCGUGGGGAUCAAACAGGAUUAGAUACCCCUGUAGUC